AAGAUACUAGUAAAAACACUACAUUGCUUUGUCAAGGCAAAAAUGUGGGUUAAAAUCCCACGUACCUU
This 68-nucleotide transfer RNA is filed under the name Parazen pacificus (parazen). RNAcentral's name for it is "tRNA-Asp". It matches the Rfam family "tRNA". From Rfam's summary of the family: Transfer RNA (tRNA) molecules are approximately 80 nucleotides in length. Their secondary structure includes four short double-helical elements and three loops (D, anti-codon, and T loops). Lineage: Eukaryota; Metazoa; Chordata; Actinopteri; Zeiformes; Parazenidae. The record is from RNAcentral.